AAGCCAAGGUUAGACUGGGGAGAGCAGAGUGCAGACCACCCUACUAAAGCCAAGGUUAGACUGGGGAGAGCAGAGUGCUGACCACCCUACUAAAGCCAAGGUUAGACUGGGGAGAGCAGAGUGCUGACCACCCUACUAAAGCCAAGGUUAGACUGGGGAGAGCAGAGUGCAGACCACCCUACUAAAGCCAAGGUUAGACUGGGGAGAGCAGAGUGCUGACCACCCUACUAAAGCCAAGGUUAGACUGGGGAGAGCAGAGUGCUGACCACCCUACUAAAGCCAAGGUUAGACUGGGGAGAGCAGAGUGCUGACCACCCUACUAAAGCCAAGGUUAGACUGGGGAAAACAGAGUGCCCACCACCCUACUAAAGCCAAGGUUAGACUGGGGAGAGCAGAAUGCUGACCACCCUACUAAAGCCAAGGUUAGACUGGGGAGAGCAGAGUGCAGACCACCCUACUAAAGCCAAGGUUAGACUGGGGAGAGCAGAGUGCUGACCACCCCACUAAAGCCAAGGUUAGACUGGGGAGAGCAGAGUGCCCACCACCCUACUAAAGCCAAGGUUAGACUGGGGAGAGCAGAGUGCCGACCACCCUACUAAAGCCAAGGUUAGACUGGGGAGAGCAGAGUGCCCACCACCCUACUAAAGCCAAGGUUAGACUGGGGAAAGCAGAGUGCCGACCACCCUACUAAAGCCAAGGUUUGACUGGGGAGAGCAGAGUGCCCACCACCCUACUAAAGCCAAGGUUAGACUGGGGAGAGCAGAGUGCUGACCACCCUACUAAAGCCAAGGUUAGACUGGGGAGAGCAGAGUGCUGACCACCCUACUAAAGCCAAGGUUAGACUGGGGAAAACAGAGUGCCCACCACCCUACUAAAGCCAAGGUUAGACUGGGGAGAGCAGAGUGCUGACCACCCCACUAAAGCCAAGGUUAGACUGGGGAGAGCAGAGUGCCCACCACCCUACUAAAGCCAAGGUUAGACUGGGGAGAGCAGAGUGCUG
This is a long non-coding RNA of Oncorhynchus keta (chum salmon), 1000 nucleotides long. RefSeq lists it as uncharacterized. NCBI's taxonomy places the organism in Eukaryota, Metazoa, Chordata, Actinopteri, Salmoniformes, Salmonidae. The transcript has 3 exons. The record is from RefSeq and is a predicted model, not a curated record.